GCGCGAAACCUCCGCAAUGCACGCAAGUGCGACGGGGGGACCCCAAGUGCCACUCUUAACGGGGUGGCUUUUCAGGAGUGUAAAAAGCUCCUGGAAUAAGGGCUGGGCAAGACCGGUGCCAGCCGCCGCGGUAACACCGGCAGCUCGAGUGGUAGCCGCGUUUAUUGGGCCUAAAGCGUCCGUAGCCGGUCCGAUAAGUCUCUGGUGAAAGCCCACAGCUUAACUGUGGGAAUCGCUGGAGAUACUAUCGGACUUGAGGCCGGGAGAGGCUGGAGGUACUCCCAGGGUAGGGGUGAAAUCCUAUAAUCCUGGGAGGACCACCUGUGGCGAAGGCGUCCAGCUGGAACGGACCUGACGGUGAGGGACGAAAGCCAGGGGCGCGAACCGG
Molecule: ribosomal RNA, 388 nt
Filed under: uncultured bacterium
Lineage: Bacteria
Description: bacterial SSU rRNA
Rfam family: Archaeal small subunit ribosomal RNA
Source: RNAcentral